AACGAACGCUGGCGGCAUGCCUAACACAUGCAAGUCGAACGCGUGGCUUCGGCCACGAGUGGCGCACGGGUGAGUAACGCGUGGGAACCUGCCCGGCAGUACGGGACAACCGCGGGAAACUGCGGCUGAUACCGUAUACGGCCUGAGGGCGAAAGAAUUUCGCUGUCGGAGGGGCCCGCGUCGGAUUAGGUAGUUGGUGGGGUAACGGCCUACCAAGCCUGCGAUCCGUAGCUGGUCUGAGAGGAUGAUCAGCCACACUGGGACUGAGACACGGCCCAGACUCCUACGGGAGGCAGCGGUGGGGAAUAUUGGACAAUGGGCGCAAGCCUGAUCCAGCAAUGCCGCGUGAGUGAUGAAGGCCUUAGGGUUGUAAAGCUCUUUCGCCCGCGACGAUGAUGACGGUAGCGGGAGAAGAAGCCCCGGCUAACUCCGUGCCAGCAGCCGCCGUUAA
Molecule: ribosomal RNA, 451 nt
Filed under: uncultured bacterium
Lineage: Bacteria
Description: partial 16S ribosomal RNA
Rfam family: Bacterial small subunit ribosomal RNA
Source: RNAcentral